RNAcentral lists this non-coding RNA (31 nucleotides) under Homo sapiens (human). The record is from RNAcentral. Lineage: Eukaryota; Metazoa; Chordata; Mammalia; Primates; Hominidae.
UGCUGUCUAUUCACUGCAUGAACUGUGCACA